Molecule: ribosomal RNA, 282 nt
Filed under: uncultured prokaryote
Description: partial 16S ribosomal RNA
Rfam family: Bacterial small subunit ribosomal RNA
Source: RNAcentral
UACAGAGGGUGCAAGCGUUGUUCGGAAUUACUGGGCGUAAAGCGCGUGUAGGCGGUUUAGUAAGUCGGUUGUGAAAUCCCUAGGCUUAACCUAGGAACUGCAUCCGAAACUACUAAACUAGAGUAUCGAAGGGGAUGGCGGAAUUCCCGGUGUAGAGGUGAAAUUCGUAGAUAUCGGGAGGAACACCUGUGGCGAAGGCGGCCAUCUGGGAGAUUACUGACGCUGAGACGCGAAAGCGUGGGGAGCAAACAGGAUUAGAUACCCUGGUAGUCCCUGAGCGGG